This 987-nucleotide ribosomal RNA is filed under the name Bacteroides cellulosilyticus. RNAcentral's name for it is "bacterial SSU rRNA". It matches the Rfam family "Bacterial small subunit ribosomal RNA", at positions 58 to 1045 of the family's 1533-position model. Lineage: Bacteria; Pseudomonadati; Bacteroidota; Bacteroidia; Bacteroidales; Bacteroidaceae. The record is from RNAcentral.
CAAGUCGAGGGGCAGCAUGACCUAGCAAUAGGUUGAUGGCGACCGGCGCACGGGUGAGUAACACGUAUCCAACCUACCGGUUAUUCCGGGAUAGCCUUUCGAAAGAAAGAUUAAUACCGGAUAGUAUAACGAGAAGGCAUCUUUUUGUUAUUAAAGAAUUUCGAUAACCGAUGGGGAUGCGUUCCAUUAGUUUGUUGGCGGGGUAACGGCCCACCAAGACAUCGAUGGAUAGGGGUUCUGAGAGGAAGGUCCCCCACAUUGGAACUGAGACACGGUCCAAACUCCUACGGGAGGCAGCAGUGAGGAAUAUUGGUCAAUGGACGAGAGUCUGAACCAGCCAAGUAGCGUGAAGGAUGACUGCCCUAUGGGUUGUAAACUUCUUUUAUAUGGGAAUAAAGUGAGCCACGUGUGGCUUUUUGUAUGUACCAUACGAAUAAGGAUCGGCUAACUCCGUGCCAGCAGCCGCGGUAAUACGGAGGAUCCGAGCGUUAUCCGGAUUUAUUGGGUUUAAAGGGAGCGUAGGCGGACUAUUAAGUCAGCUGUGAAAGUUUGCGGCUCAACCGUAAAAUUGCAGUUGAUACUGGUCGUCUUGAGUGCAGUAGAGGUAGGCGGAAUUCGUGGUGUAGCGGUGAAAUGCUUAGAUAUCACGAAGAACUCCGAUUGCGAAGGCAGCUUACUGGACUGUAACUGACGCUGAUGCUCGAAAGUGUGGGUAUCAAACAGGAUUAGAUACCCUGGUAGUCCACACAGUAAACGAUGAAUACUCGCUGUUUGCGAUAUACAGCAAGCGGCCAAGCGAAAGCAUUAAGUAUUCCACCUGGGGAGUACGCCGGCAACGGUGAAACUCAAAGGAAUUGACGGGGGCCCGCACAAGCGGAGGAACAUGUGGUUUAAUUCGAUGAUACGCGAGGAACCUUACCCGGGCUUAAAUUGCAAAUGAAUAUAGUGGAAACAUUAUAGCCGCAAGGCAUUUGUGAAGGUGCUGCA